CUGGCUCAGGACGAACGCUGGCGGCGUGCUUAACACAUGCAAGUCGAACGAGGUGAUUGAAAGCUUGCUUUUGAGAACCGAGUGGCAAACGGGUGAGUAACGCGUAGACAA
RNAcentral lists this ribosomal RNA (111 nucleotides) under Pseudoselenomonas ruminantium. RNAcentral's name for it is "Selenomonas ruminantium 16S rRNA. Bacterial SSU". It matches the Rfam family "Bacterial small subunit ribosomal RNA", at positions 19 to 124 of the family's 1533-position model. The record is from RNAcentral. Lineage: Bacteria; Bacillati; Bacillota; Negativicutes; Selenomonadales; Selenomonadaceae.